This 266-nucleotide ribosomal RNA is filed under the name uncultured bacterium. RNAcentral describes it as "partial 16S ribosomal RNA". It matches the Rfam family "Bacterial small subunit ribosomal RNA", at positions 89 to 353 of the family's 1533-position model. The record is from RNAcentral.
UGGCGACCGGCGCACGGGUGCGUAACGCGUAUGUAACCUACCUAUAACAGGGGCAUAACACUGAGAAAUUGGUACUAAUUCCCCAUAAUAUUCGGAGAGGCAUCUCUCCGGGUUGAAAAACUCCGGUGGUUAUAGAUGGACAUGCGUUGUAUUAGCUAGUUGGUGAGGUAACGGCUCACCAAGGCAACGAUACAUAGGGGGACUGAGAGGUUAACCCCCCACACUGGUACUGAGACGCGGACCAGACUCCUACGGGAGGCAGCAUG